AGAGUUUGAUCCUGGCUCAGGACGAACGCUGGCGGCGUGCUUAACACAUGCAAGUCGAGCGAGGUUAGCAGGAUGAGGCUUCGGCGGAUGAGAGCUAAUCGAGCGGCGGACGGGUGAGUAACGCGUGAACAAUCUGUCCCGGACAGGGGGAUACCCGAUGGAAACAUCGGCUAAUACCGCAUAAGACCACAGUGUCGCAUGGCACAGGGGUAAAAGAACUUCGGUUCGGGGUGAGUUCGCGUCUGAUUAGCUUGUUGGCGGGGUAACGGCCCACCAAGGCGACGAUCAGUAGGGGUUCUGAGAGGAAGGUCCCCCACAUUGGAACUGAGACACGGUCCAAACUCCUACGGGAGGCAGCAGUGAGGAAUAUUGGUCAAUGGGCGAGAGCCUGAACCAGCCAAGUCGCGUGAAGGAUGAAGGUUCUAUGGAUUGUAAACUUCUUUUGUCUGAGGGUAAAGUGAGAGUCGUGACUCUUAUUGCAAGUAUCAGACGAAUAAGCAUCGGCUAACUCCGUGCCAGCAGCCGCGGUAAUACGGAGGAUGCGAGCGUUAUCCGGAUUUAUUGGGUUUAAAGGGUGCGUAGGCGGAGAAUUAAGUCUGUGGUGAAAGCGUGCGGCUCAACCGUACCAAGCCAUGGAAACUGGUUUUCUUGAGUGUAAACGAGGUAGGCGGAAUAUGACGUGUAGCGGUGAAAUGCUUAGAUAUGUCAUAGAACCCCGAUUGCGAAGGCAGCUUACCAGCAUACAACUGACGCUGAGGCACGAAAGCGUGGGGUAUCAAACAGGAUUAGAUACCCUGGUAGUCCACGCAGUAAACGAUGAAUACUAGCUGUUGGCGAUAUAAUGUCAGCGGUAAAGCGAAAGUGUUAAGUAUUCCACCUGGGGAGUACGCCGGCAACGGUGAAACUCAAAGGAAUUGACGGGGGCCCGCACAAGCGGAGGAACAUGUGGUUUAAUUCGAUGAUACGCGAGGAACCUUACCCGGGCUUGAAAGUUAGUGACGGCAGCUGAAAGGCUGCUUCCCUUCGGGGCACGAAACUAGGUGCUGCAUGGUUGUCGUCAGCUCGUGCCGUGAGGUGUCGGCUUAAGUGCCAUAACGAGCGCAACCCUUUUCCAUAGUUGCCAUCAUUCAGUUGGGAACUCUAUGGACACUGCCAUCGCAAGAUGUGAGGAAGGAUGGGAUGACGUCAAAUCAGCACGGCCCUUACGUCCGGGGCGACACACGUGUUACAAUGGGGAGGACAGAAAGGAUCGAGGCGGGGACGCUGAGGGAAUCUCGAAACCUUCUCCCAGUUCGGAUUGGAGUCUGCAACCCGACUCCAUGAAGCUGGAUUCGCUAGUAAUCGCGCAUCAGCCAUGGCGCGGGGAAUACGUUCCCGGGCCUUGCACACACCGCCCGUCA
Molecule: ribosomal RNA, 1400 nt
Filed under: uncultured bacterium
Lineage: Bacteria
Description: 16S ribosomal RNA
Rfam family: Bacterial small subunit ribosomal RNA
Source: RNAcentral